Papio anubis (olive baboon) is the source of this 148-nucleotide unclassified non-coding RNA. It matches the Rfam family "Metazoan signal recognition particle RNA". Rfam says of the family: The signal recognition particle (SRP) is a universally conserved ribonucleoprotein. It is involved in the co-translational targeting of proteins to membranes. The eukaryotic SRP consists of a 300-nucleotide 7S RNA and six proteins: SRPs 72, 68, 54, 19, 14, and 9. NCBI's taxonomy places the organism in Eukaryota, Metazoa, Chordata, Mammalia, Primates, Cercopithecidae. The record is from Ensembl.
GCUGGGCGUGGUGGUGUGCACCUGUAGUCCCAGCUACUUGGGAGGCUGUGGUAGGAGGAUUGCUUGAGUCCAGGAGUUUGAGGCUGCAGUGAGCUAUGAUGGUGCCACUGUACUCCAGCCUGGGCAAUACAGUGAGACCCUGUCUCUA